GACGAACGCUGGCGGCGUGCUUAACACAUGCAAGUCGAACGGUGAAGCGCCUUCCUUUUUGGUGGGUGUGGAUGAGUGGCGAACGGGUGAGUAACACGUGAGUAACCUGCCCCCUUCUUCUGGAUAACCGCAUGAAAGUGUGGCUAAUACGGGAUAUUCUGGGUCUGUCGCAUGAUGGGUCUGGGAAAGAUAUUGUUUCGGUGGGGGAUGGGCUCGCGGCCUAUCAGCUUGUUGGUGGGGUGAUGGCCUACCAAGGCGGUGGCGGGUAGCCGGCCUGAGAGGGUGGACGGUCACACUGGGAAUGAGACACGGCCCAGACUCCUACGGGAGGCAGAAGUGGGGAAUAUUGAACAAUGGGCGCAAGCCUGAUGCAGCGACGCCGCGUGAGGGAUGGAGGCCUUCGGGUUGUGAACCUCUUUCGCCAGUGAAGCAGGCCUGCCUCGUUUGUGGGUGGGUUGACGGUAGCUGGAUAAGAAGCGCCGGCUAACUACGUG
This 494-nucleotide ribosomal RNA is filed under the name uncultured bacterium. Its description in RNAcentral is "partial 16S ribosomal RNA". It matches the Rfam family "Bacterial small subunit ribosomal RNA", at positions 28 to 507 of the family's 1533-position model. The record is from RNAcentral.